This 547-nucleotide long non-coding RNA is filed under the name Solanum tuberosum (potato). Its description in RNAcentral is "long non-coding RNA (STUB_LNC005910)". The record is from RNAcentral. Lineage: Eukaryota; Viridiplantae; Streptophyta; Magnoliopsida; Solanales; Solanaceae.
UGAAUCUUGUACUCGGCGAUUGUGAAGAGUUUCGUAAGCUUCCUCCUACUAAAGGUUCUAAGGAAGAACGUGAAGAUCGCCGUACACUUGGUCUUCUUCUUCUCAGGGGUGAAGAAGUGAUUUCCAUGACUGUUGAAGGUCCUCCACCUCCGGAUGAUUCUCGUGUUAAAGCUACUGCUGGUGGUGUUUCUGCUGUUCCUGGACCCGGGUUGGGUCGGGCUGCGGGUCGGGGUGUUCCGACUGGUCCGAUGGUUCAUGCUCAGCCGGGUCUUGCUGGUCCUGUUCGUGGUGUUGGUGGACCUGCACCGGGAAUGAUGCAGCCGCAGAUUUCUCGUCCGCCGAUUAAUUACCCGCAGCAGCCUCCUCCUAUGGUUCGACCACCUGGUGGUGGGCCUCCACCUCCAAUGCAAAUGCAAAUGCAAAGACCUGGUGGCCCACCUAUGCCUCCGCCGCCACAGUUCAGGCCUGGUGGUCCUGGACCGUUUCCGCCUCAGUUUGGUCAGAGGCCCAUGGGACCACCACCUCCACAGAUGAUGAGAGGUCCUCC